CCCAACAAUGGCCUGAAGUUGAGGUGAAACUCCACAAACUUUGUUUAGACCCCCAGGGCCACCUCUUCUUUUGGUUCCAACAGGAGCACUGCAAUAGAAGUUUCGGAUAAACAUGUUAUCUCACCCCCACAACAUAAAUUGCCUUUAUAUCAGGCAGUUCCAAAAGAGUAGAUAGCAGAUAUAAGAGUAAGGAAAAAAUCAUCCAGUGAAUAGGGCUAGACAGACUAUUAAGUCACCAACAAUAAAUGCCAAUCUGCACAUUAAUCCUCGGCUGAAAUUCACCCAAAAUAGAAUUCAAACUGCCAAGAAAUAUUAAAAUGCAAAAUUGCAAGUCUAGAUAACAUUUUCAACCGUGAGUACCAUCAGUUUACAAUAUAGUUGACUGGUCAUUCACCGGUACAGGAGAAAAAGAGAAAUAUAAACGUGCCCAGAAAAAAAGUGAAAGUGAAAAAGCAAAAAACUUCUUUUCUUCAACCUUUCACGUCUGACCAUGGCUAAGUGCCCAAGUCAAAAUGUCUCAAAAAGCUUGAUUGGUACCACAACCAUAUGGAGCCUCAGUUUUAUUCUACUUCCUUUCCUUUGAAUGAAUAUAGCACCAAAAACUGUUCAUAACUGUAUAGUCUAAGCUGUUUUCCAGUAAGCGCACGAAAGUUUGAGUUUUAUUCUACAAAUGGGUAAUUCCCACUAGUGUGAGGAAAUGCAAAAGAUAAAAACUUCCCCAAAAGGAAUGCUUGAAUAAUCUAUAAGCACAGGUUCUUUCUCAAGAAAUGGAUAGAAAAAUGAGGUAAAAACUAAUUAUUUUCAAAAACGUUUCAUGUUUCCGACUGCAGUAAACUAGAGGAAAGCAACCGUUCUUACAUGUGGAAAAAUGGAAAUUGUUCAUAACUAAGACCUGCAGGUUAUCCAUAAAUGAUAAUACUUCUCCAAAGCAAGCCCUAACCUGGACCAUUUUGGAUAAGUAAAACAGCUUCCUUUCACAUGUAAUUUCCCCCAGAAAAACCAUCAGUACCAUUUUAUUGUAGCAAACACAGUCCUUCAGAAACCCUAACUUGGAACACAUGAGGAAGAAUAAAAACCCUAACCCCACCAAAUCAACAUAACUAAAACCCUAGGCAAAUAACCACUUUUUUCCUUCGGAAGACCCAAACCAUUUCCAGCACCAAAAAAGAAGGGCAAAACCAAAACGUAUAAACUUUCAGAUAACGAAAAAGAGAGAACCUUUCUUUGGGCACUUCACGAGAAACAGCGGCCACGGCGCCUUGAGGAAAAAGGGUCUCUUGCUUCGCUACCGGAGCUUGCUGGGGGAGCUGUUGCUGAACCGGCUGAGCCUGGGGCUGUGGAGGAGGAUGCGUCGCCGGCUGGGUCUGCGGCUGCCGGAAGUUGAGGUCCUGCGGAUGAUGGUAGGGUUGGUGGAGAGUGAAAUGGGGAGGGAAUUGGUGAGGCUGAGGAGGGAAUUGGGGGUGGUGAUAGAGGGCAAAAUGGUCCUUGGGCGAGACAUGGAGCUGGGACUGGGUUUGGGUCUGGGUCUGGGUCUGGUUCUGGGUCUGGGUCUGUGGUUGCUGUUGCGGAGGCUGGGGCUGGGGCGGGGGCUGGGGCUGAGGCUGAGGCUGGGGCUGGGGCUGGGG
RNAcentral lists this long non-coding RNA (1625 nucleotides) under Carica papaya (papaya). RNAcentral describes it as "long non-coding RNA (CPAP_LNC007604)". Lineage: Eukaryota; Viridiplantae; Streptophyta; Magnoliopsida; Brassicales; Caricaceae. The record is from RNAcentral.